Molecule: ribosomal RNA, 408 nt
Filed under: uncultured bacterium
Lineage: Bacteria
Description: partial 16S ribosomal RNA
Rfam family: Bacterial small subunit ribosomal RNA
Source: RNAcentral
GACGAACGCUGACUGCGUGCUUAACACAUGCAAGUCGAAGGGAGUGGCGAACGGGUGAGUAACACGUGAGUAACCUGCCCUUUUCUUUGGGAUAAGCCUGGGAAACUGGGUCUAAUACUGGAUGGAUUGGGAUGGGCUCGCGGCUUUUCGGCUUGUUGGUGGGGUGAGGGCUUACCAAGGCUUUGACGGGUAGCCGGCGUGAGAGGGCGGUCGGUCACUCUGUGACGGCGCUACGGCCCAGAGUACGAAGGGAGGCAGCAGAGGGGGAUAUUGCAGCAUGGACGAAAGUCUGAUGCCGCGACGACGUGUGGGGGAUGAAGGCCUUCGGGUUGUAAACUCCGUGCGCCCGCGGAAUGGUAGUGGGUAAAGAAGCGCCGGCUAACUACGUGCCAGCAGCCGCGGUAAUAC